Molecule: long non-coding RNA, 206 nt
Filed under: Brassica rapa (field mustard)
Lineage: Eukaryota; Viridiplantae; Streptophyta; Magnoliopsida; Brassicales; Brassicaceae
Description: long non-coding RNA (BRAP_LNC001266)
Source: RNAcentral
CAACAAGUGAUUAAACUACCAUGAAAAGAAACAACUUGAAAAGGAAGAAAAGAGGGAUGGAAAAGAUGACGACAACUACAAAUGUUUUCCUAAUUCUGAGUUUAAUUAACCUAAGAAAUAAACCAGAUUCGGAAUUAUUAGUAAACUGGGUCGAAAUUGGUGUACAUAAAUCCAGAUUUUCGUUAAUAAAUCUGCCGCAACAUAAA